GAUGAAGAACGCAGCGAAAUGCGAUAAGUAGUGUGAAUUGCAGAAUUCAGUGAAUCAUCGAAUCUUUGAACGCACAUUGCGCCCCUUGGUAUUCCGUGGGGCAUGCCUGUUCGAGCGUCAUUUGUACCUUCAAGCUUUGCUUGGUGUUGGGUGUUUGUCUCGCCUUUGCGUGUAGACUCGCCUUAAAAUAAUUGGCAGCCGGCGUAUUGAUUUCGGAGCGCAGUACAUCUCGCGCUUUGCACUCAUAACGACAGCGUCCAAAAGUACAUUUUACACUCAUGACCUCGGAUCAGGUAGGGAUACCCGCUGAACUUAAGCAUAUCAAUAAGCGGAGGA
Molecule: unclassified non-coding RNA, 336 nt
Filed under: soil metagenome
Description: partial contains 5.8S ribosomal RNA, internal transcribed spacer 2, and large subunit ribosomal RNA
Rfam family: 5.8S ribosomal RNA (bases 1-120)
Source: RNAcentral